This 282-nucleotide unclassified non-coding RNA is filed under the name plant metagenome. RNAcentral describes it as "partial contains small subunit ribosomal RNA, internal transcribed spacer 1, and 5.8S ribosomal RNA". The record is from RNAcentral.
UUUCCGUAGGUGAACCUGCGGAAGGAUCAUUGUCGAAACCUGCCCAGCAGAACGACCCGCGAACUUGUAUAAACAACCGGGGGCGGGGGGCGUUCUCGCCCCGUGCCCCCGAACGGCGGGGAGACACUCGUGCCCUCUUGCCGAACAACGAACCCCGGCGCGGUCUGCGCCAAGGAACUACAACUAAAGAGGGCCUCCGGUCGCCUCGGAAACGGCGUGCGUGCCGGGGGCGAAUCUUGUGCAAAACCAUAACGACUCUCGGCAACGGAUACCUCGGCUCUC